CCUACGGGAGGCAGCAGUGGGGGAUAUUGCACAAUGGGGGAAACCCUGAUGCAGCGACGCCGCGUGGGUGAAGAAGCGCCUCGGCGCGUAAACCUCUGUCUUUGGGGAAGAAAAUGACGGUACCCAAAGAGGAAGCUCCGGCUAACUACGUGCCAGCAGCCGCGGUAAUACGUAGGGAGCGAGCGUUGUCCGGAAUUACUGGGUGUAAAGGGAGAGUAGGCGGGCGAGAAAGUUGAAUGUUAAAUCUACCGGCUUAACUGGUAGCUGCGUUCAAAACUUCUUGUCUUGAGUGAAGUAGAGGCAGGCGGAAUUCCUAGUGUAGCGGUGAAAUGCGUAGAUAUUAGGAGGAACACCAGUGGCGAAGGCGGCCUGCUGGGCUUUAACUGACGCUGAGGCUCGAAAGCGUGGGGAGCAAACAGGAUUAGAUACCCCAGUAGUC
Molecule: ribosomal RNA, 439 nt
Filed under: uncultured bacterium
Lineage: Bacteria
Description: partial 16S ribosomal RNA
Rfam family: Bacterial small subunit ribosomal RNA
Source: RNAcentral